RNAcentral lists this ribosomal RNA (407 nucleotides) under uncultured bacterium. Its description in RNAcentral is "partial 16S ribosomal RNA". It matches the Rfam family "Bacterial small subunit ribosomal RNA", at positions 28 to 526 of the family's 1533-position model. The record is from RNAcentral.
GACGAACGCUGGCGGCGUGCCUAAUACAUGCAAGUAGAACGCAGUUGCGAACGGGUGAGUAACGCGUAGGUAACUGCCUCAUAGCGGGGGAUAACUAUUGGAAACGAUAGCUAAUACGGCAUAGAGGGAGAGGUACCGGAGUUGUAUUAGCUAGUUGGUGAGGUAAAGGCUCACCAAGGCGACGAUACAUAGCCGACCUGAGAGGGUGCUCGGCCACCCGGGGACUGCGACACUGCCCAGACUCCUACGGGAGGCAGCAGUAGGGAAUCUUCGGCAAUGGACUGAAGUCUGACCGAGCUACGCCGCGUUAGUGAAGAAGGUUUUCGGAUCGUAAAGCUCUGUUGUUAGAGAAGCGUUCACUACCCCUAAAGGGACGGCUAACUCCGUGCCAGCAGCCGCGGUAAUUC